AGAGUUUGAUCCUGGCUCAGGACGAACCCGCUGGCGGGCGUGCUUAACACAUGCAAGUCGAGCGGGGAUUGAUGGAGUGCUUGCACAAAAUCAAUUCUAGCGGCGGACGGGUGAGUAACGCGUGAGCAAUCUGUCCUACACAGGGGGAUAACACUUGGAAACAGGUGCUAAUACCGCAUAAGACCACGAGGUCGCAUGGCCAUGAGGUAAAAGAUUUAUCGGUGUAGGGUGAGCUCGCGUCCCAUUAGCUAGUUGGUGAGGUAACGGCCCACCAAGGCGACGAUGGGUAGCCGACCUGAGAGGGUGAUCGGCCACAUUGGAACUGAGACACGGUCCAGACUCCUACGGGAGGCAGCAGUGGGGAAUAUUGGGCAAUGGGCGCAAGCCUGACCCAGCAACGCCGCGUGAAGGAAGAAGGUUUUCGGAUUGUAAACUUCUGUUCCUUGGGGACGAAGAAAGUGACGGUACCCAUAGGAGGAAGCCCCGGCUAACUACCGUGUGCCAGCAGCCGCGGU
This 515-nucleotide ribosomal RNA is filed under the name uncultured bacterium. RNAcentral's name for it is "bacterial SSU rRNA". It matches the Rfam family "Bacterial small subunit ribosomal RNA", at positions 8 to 521 of the family's 1533-position model. The record is from RNAcentral.